Molecule: ribosomal RNA, 619 nt
Filed under: Acarospora strigata
Lineage: Eukaryota; Fungi; Ascomycota; Lecanoromycetes; Acarosporales; Acarosporaceae
Description: partial large subunit ribosomal RNA
Rfam family: Eukaryotic large subunit ribosomal RNA
Source: RNAcentral
UUAAGCAUAUCAAUAAGCGGAGGAAAAGAAACCAACAGGGAUUGCCUCAGUAACGGCGAGUGAAGCGGCAACAGCUCAAAUUUGAAAUCUGGCUCUUCCAGAGUCCGAGUUGUAAUUUGCAGAGGAUGCUUCGGGUUCGGCUCCGGUCUAAGUUCCUUGGAACAGGACGUCAUAGAGGGUGAGAAUCCCGUAUGUGACUGGCCGCCACGCCCGUGUGAAGCUCCUUCGACGAGUCGAGUUGUUUGGGAAUGCAGCUCAAAAUGGGUGGUAAAUUUCAUCUAAAGCUAAAUAUUGGCCAGAGACCGAUAGCGCACAAGUAGAGUGAUCGAAAGAUGAAAAGCACUUUGGAAAGAGAGUCAAACAGUACGUGAAAUUGUUGAAAGGGAAGCGCUUGCAACCAGACUUGCCCGCGGGUGAUCAGCCGGUAUUCUUACCGGUGCACUCGCCCGUGGUCAGGCCAGCAUCGGUUUGGGCGGCUGGAUAAAGUCCACCGGAAUGUAGCUCCUCUCGGGGAGUGUUAUAGCCGGAGGUGCCAUGCAGCCCGCCCGGACCGAGGACCGCGCUUUGGCUAGGAUGCUGGCGUAAUGGUUGUAAGCGACCCGUCUUGAAACACGGACCA